UGCGUAGGGGGCAAGCGUUGUCCGGAUUUAUUGGGCGUAAAGAGCGUGUAGGCGGCCAGGUAGGUCAGCUGUGAAAACUCGAGGCUCAACCUCGAGACGUCGGUUGAAACCACCUGGCUAGAGUCCGGAAGAGGAGAGUGGAAUUCCUGGUGUAGCGGUGAAAUGCGCAGAUAUCAGGAAGAACACCCGUGGCGAAGGCGGCUCUCUGGGACGGUACUGACGCUGAGACGCGAAAGCGUGGGGAGCGAACAGG
Molecule: ribosomal RNA, 253 nt
Filed under: uncultured bacterium
Lineage: Bacteria
Description: partial 16S ribosomal RNA
Rfam family: Bacterial small subunit ribosomal RNA
Source: RNAcentral